AGCGAACGCUGGCGGCAGGCUUAACACAUGCAAGUCGAGCGGGCAUCCUUGUGGUGUCAGCGGCAGACGGGUGAGUAACGCGUGGGAACGUGCCCUUCGGUUCGGAAUAACUCAGGGAAACUUGAGCUAAUACCGGAUACGUGCGAGAGCAGAAAGGUUUAUCUGCCGAAGGAUCGGCCCGCGUCUGAUUAGCUAGUUGGUGAGGUUACGGCUCACCAAGGCGACGAUCAGUAGCUGGUCUGAGAGGAUGAUCAGCCACACUGGGACUGAGACACAGCCCAGACUCCUACGGGAGGCAGCAGUGGGGAAUAUUGGACAAUGGGGGCAACCCUGAUCCAGCCAUGCCGGGUGAGUGAUGACGGCCUUAGGGUUGUAAAGCUCUUUUCUCCGGGACGAUAAUGACGGUACCGGAGGAAUAAGCCCCGGCUAACUUCGUG
RNAcentral lists this ribosomal RNA (437 nucleotides) under uncultured bacterium. RNAcentral describes it as "partial 16S ribosomal RNA". It matches the Rfam family "Bacterial small subunit ribosomal RNA", at positions 29 to 507 of the family's 1533-position model. The record is from RNAcentral.